Molecule: long non-coding RNA, 595 nt
Organism: Mytilus californianus (California mussel)
Lineage: Eukaryota; Metazoa; Mollusca; Bivalvia; Mytilida; Mytilidae
Exons: 2
Source: RefSeq, a predicted model, not a curated record
UGCAAACAUUUGGAACACCAUUUUUGACUUAGAAAAUGCAUUUGUUUUUUUAUUUGCAGGAAUCGUUAGAUUAAAAUGUUUGAAUUAGGAACCGGUAGCCAAUAAUCCCCAAAAGGUCAUUUCUGCAUGCUAUAAAGUGGUGGAAAAAAGAAAGAUGUUGAAAAAAGGAUAUAUAGGCUCAUAGACAUUCCUUGUUGUGGAGGAUUUUGACAUUGGAAGUUGAUAACAACACAUAAAAUGCCACCCAGUUGAUAGCUUUAAGUGAAGAUGCACUGAAAAGUGGAGCGUACAUUGUAUGUGAUCGUACAAGAACUGUUGGAAUUUGCAAACUUUUAAACUUUCAUUGUGACAAAUACCUAUAUCAUAAACUAUCUAAUUAUCACAUUGACAUGCUUUUUUGGUUAGAAUACAAAUGAUGUUGCAACUAUCUAGUCAUGUAGGGAAAAAUCAUUAUUUGUGAUAUAUAUUUAAGUCAGUUUAAAAACAUUAUGUAUGUGAUUUCACUGACUGUUACUUGUGAUAUCAUAAGGUAUCUGGUGUACUUUUCUUACAUAUAAUAUGCUCAUUUGAUUACAUAAAGAAUUACUUGUUAAAA